Molecule: non-coding RNA, 476 nt
Organism: Parasteatoda tepidariorum (common house spider)
Lineage: Eukaryota; Metazoa; Arthropoda; Arachnida; Araneae; Theridiidae
Source: RefSeq, a predicted model, not a curated record
GGGGAUUAGAGCCUGGGUUACCUUAUUGGAAAGCGAGUGCUCCAUCACCUGAGCCCUUAUAAACUAUCAAGGUUCUUUAGACUUUGGAUCUGGACAGCGAUGAAGAAGAUUAAAGCUUUGUGCUCCAAAAUCACUGAAGAAGUCAGUGCUUAUGCUCAAAAAUCAUACAAGAGCUUAUUAUUCAGACAAACGAAAUCCAUUAACUUUAGCUACAUUGAGCUAUUUAAACUUAAAAAAAUUUCUCAAGUUUUAUGAGCUGGUUGGUCAAGUCAUAUACCUAAGCAUUUAUAUGGUCAAAUUAUAACUACAGAUUUCUAGCUUGAUGCCUGGAUUUAUAUUUCUGAAAACUACAUUAUGUGCCCGGGGAUUGCCAUUGUCUACAUCGGUGGAUGCUAUGCUAAGAUGGUCUUACAUCUCUAGAUGGAAAGUUAUGGGUCAAAUUAUAAUUACAGAUUUCUAGCUUGAUGCCUGGAUUU